GGGGUAUGGCUCAGUUGGUAGAGCGCCUCGUUCGCAACGAGGAGGCCAGCGGUUCGAAUCCGCUUAUCUCC
Molecule: transfer RNA, 71 nt
Filed under: bovine gut metagenome
Rfam family: tRNA
About the family: Transfer RNA (tRNA) molecules are approximately 80 nucleotides in length. Their secondary structure includes four short double-helical elements and three loops (D, anti-codon, and T loops).
Source: RNAcentral